RNAcentral lists this transfer RNA (91 nucleotides) under Nitrospiraceae bacterium. Its description in RNAcentral is "tRNA-Ser". It matches the Rfam family "tRNA". From Rfam's summary of the family: Transfer RNA (tRNA) molecules are approximately 80 nucleotides in length. Their secondary structure includes four short double-helical elements and three loops (D, anti-codon, and T loops). Lineage: Bacteria; Pseudomonadati; Nitrospirota; Nitrospiria; Nitrospirales; Nitrospiraceae. The record is from RNAcentral.
GGAGGGGUGGCCGAGCGGUUUAAGGCGACGGUCUUGAAAAUCGUUGCAGGGUUACACCCUGCCGAGAGUUCGAAUCUCUCCCCCUCCGCCA